This 253-nucleotide ribosomal RNA is filed under the name uncultured bacterium. RNAcentral's name for it is "partial 16S ribosomal RNA". It matches the Rfam family "Bacterial small subunit ribosomal RNA", at positions 524 to 776 of the family's 1533-position model. The record is from RNAcentral.
UACGAAGGGGGCUAGCGUUGCUCGGAAUCACUGGGCGUAAAGCGCACGUAGGCGGAUCUUUAAGUCAGGGGUGAAAUCCUGGAGCUCAACUCCAGAACUGCCCUUGAUACUGGCGGUCUCGAGUCCGGGAGAGGUGAGUGGAACUGCGAGUAUAGAGGUGAAAUUCGUAGAUAUUCGCAAGAACACCAGUGGCGAAGGCGGCUCACUGGCCCGGUACUGACGCUGAGGUGCGAAAGCGUGGGGAGCAAACAGG